AUGAACGCUGGCGGCGUGUCUAAGGCAUGCAAGUCGUACGGUUUAGUCGCAAGACUAAAUAGUGGCAAACGGGUGCGUAACACAUUGGUAACCUACCCUGAAGUUCGGGACAACCUGUCGAAAGACGGGCUAAUACCGGAUGCGAUCGAAGUCCUCAUGGAUUUCGCUCAAAGAUUUAUCGCUUCAGGAGGGGCCUAUGGUCUAUCAGCUAGUUGGUGAGGUAAUGGCUCACCAAGGCGACGACGGAUAGCGGGAUUGAGAGAUCGACCCGCCUCACUGGGACUGAGACACUGCCCAGACUCCUACGGGAGGCUGCAGUCAAGAAUAUUCCCCAAUGGCCGAAAGGCUGAGGGAGCGACGCCGCGUGUAGGAUGAAGCUCUUCGGAGUGUAAACUGCUUUUCUCAAGGAAAAACUCUGAUGGUACUUGAGGAAUAAGGGGCUGCUAACUUCGU
RNAcentral lists this ribosomal RNA (453 nucleotides) under uncultured bacterium. Its description in RNAcentral is "partial 16S ribosomal RNA". It matches the Rfam family "Bacterial small subunit ribosomal RNA", at positions 29 to 506 of the family's 1533-position model. The record is from RNAcentral.